UUGCUCAGGCCUCACCUCAGGUGUUUCGAAUUAAUCUUUCGCCUUUUACUAAAGAUUACCGUGGGGUGGGGCACUCCAAUGAGCCUAUAGGCCAAUUUUUGGGAGGCCUUGCCCGUUUGGGCAGGGC
Molecule: small nuclear RNA, 127 nt
Filed under: Rhipicephalus microplus (southern cattle tick)
Lineage: Eukaryota; Metazoa; Arthropoda; Arachnida; Ixodida; Ixodidae
Description: U5 spliceosomal RNA
Rfam family: U5 spliceosomal RNA
About the family: U5 RNA is a component of both types of known spliceosome. The precise function of this molecule is unknown, though it is known that the 5' loop is required for splice site selection and p220 binding, and that both the 3' stem-loop and the Sm site are important for Sm protein binding and cap methylation.
Source: Rfam by way of RNAcentral